RNAcentral lists this ribosomal RNA (765 nucleotides) under Antennoseius sp. NFS-2015. RNAcentral describes it as "eukaryotic LSU rRNA". It matches the Rfam family "Eukaryotic large subunit ribosomal RNA", at positions 145 to 772 of the family's 3401-position model. The record is from RNAcentral. Lineage: Eukaryota; Metazoa; Arthropoda; Arachnida; Mesostigmata; Ascidae.
GAGGUGUAAAGGUGUCUCGCGAUCAGCAGAUGUACAGCUUAAUUAUUAUUGAGUGAGUGCUCAGAGAAGGUGAAAAGCCUGUGUGGUUGUGUCUAUCUGCUGAAUCGGGUCAACUGACGAGUCUAGUUGUUUGAGAGUACAACUUAAAGCUGGUGGUAAAUUUCAUCAAAGGCUAAAUAUAUGAGGGGACUAAUAGCGAACAAGUACCAUGAGGGAAAGUUGAAAAGGACUCUGACGAGAGAGUUCAACAGUACGUGAAACCAUAUUGAGUAAAACAGAUAACUGUGUUGUUAUGUGGUAUGCCUAUCAACAGCGUAUUUGGUGUUGUGAUGCUGUGAGUGUCAGCUGUCUAUUCAGCCGAGCGCUCAUAGUUAGCAUAGCCAAAAGUUCUGUGCACUAGUGCAUACUCGAUCAUUGAGAAGCUAUGCUCCUGCGACAAUAGUGUGCAUCAGUCCGUACCUAGUGCGUGGUUGCAUGCUAGGCUCAGCUAGGGGCGUAGCUUAGCUGUGUGACAGCUGUGGACUGCGUUUACUGAAUGUACUUGCUUUGUCAGCGAAUUGGUUUAUUCCUUUUUUGCUGUGAGUAUAGUGCAGUAGGUAAGUGGCCCGCCAUCAAUGGUUAACAUUAGUUAUUUGACCCGUCUUGAAACACGGACCAAGGAGUUCAAAUGGCACGCGAGUCAUUGGGUUUCAGCACCCGAAGGCGAAGUGAAAUGCAAACGUAUCGUUACUCGUGGUUGUUCCGCGACUAAGCGAUAAGCUACUC